This 441-nucleotide ribosomal RNA is filed under the name uncultured bacterium. Its description in RNAcentral is "partial 16S ribosomal RNA". It matches the Rfam family "Bacterial small subunit ribosomal RNA", at positions 338 to 795 of the family's 1533-position model. The record is from RNAcentral.
CCUACGGGAGGCAGCAGUGGGGAAUAUUGCACAAUGGGGGAAACCCUGAUCCAGCGACGCCGCGUGAGUGAAGAAGUAUUUCGGUAUGUAAAGCUCUAUCAGCAGGGAAGAAAAUGACGGUACCUGACUACGAAGCCCCGGCUAACUACGUGCCAGCCGCCGCGGUACUACGUAGGGGGCCAGUGUGAUCCGGCUUUACUGGGGGUAAAGGGAGCGUAGGUGGGAUGGUAAAGCGAAAGGGAAAACCCAGGUGUCUACUCUGUGGAUUGCCUUUGAAACUAUCAAGCUAGAGUGCUGGAGAGGUAAGCGGAAUUCGUAGUGUAGCGGUGAAAUGCGUAGAUAUUAGGAGGAACACCGGUGGCGAAGGCGGCUUACUGGACAGCAACUGACGCUGAGGCUCGAAAGCGUGGGUAUCAAACAGGAUUAGAUACCCGAGUAGUC